Long non-coding RNA from Cicer arietinum (chickpea), 819 nucleotides. RefSeq lists it as uncharacterized. Lineage: Eukaryota; Viridiplantae; Streptophyta; Magnoliopsida; Fabales; Fabaceae. The record is from RefSeq and is a predicted model, not a curated record.
AGUUAGUGCACAUGUACAAAGUCCAACUCGCAUCCUGGGGUGGUUCAGCUCUGGGGUUUUCCUUUGUAGCACUGUGAGACAGAUUUCCGAAAGAGGAAAAUAAAUUAGGGCAAAACAUAUCCUUCGUGGAAUCCGUGAUCGAAACGAAUCACUUGGUUCAUUGUUUCGUUUCCUUGCGUUUUGUACAAUGGCGCACCAGCAACAUUCGUCGACGCUACCAUGGAUGCUCGAUGCUGUACCUUUAUUCGUCGUUCUUCUAAUAGCGGCUCAUGUUCUCGGAUUGGUAUAUUGGAUUUAUAGAUUAGCAACCCAGAAACAGCCACUGCUGAGGCCAAAGGCCCACUGAAGGAGGAGAAGAAGUAACCAGUUUGCAUCCUUGGAGAAAGGAAAUUUUUGCUGCUGACUACUUUGGGAAAUUGCAAUGCUCGGAAAUGUCAGGCUAUAAAAUUUUGAUCAUUUCCCUGUAGGUCAUCUAAGAAUUUUGUAGUAUCAAUAUUUAUAAAUGGUCCUUGCAUAGUUGCAUGUGUUAGCUCAAGUUAGUUGUCUGUUUUCACUAGUUAUUUAUUGGUCGAUCUUCCUUUACGGCCUUGGACAAACUGUAAGUUGAUGAAGUGCAUUAUUAGGAGUUGAAUAAAUAGUGGAAAUUUCUGGUCUGAUACUUGUUAUUUUGUUGGGAUGCUUUAUGCUGUAUGUUCCUUAAAUGGCCAAUUCUAUGAUGUACAUGUGAGGUGAGUUUUUCAUCAUGCACGUGUUUGUUUGUUUCUACCAUUGUACUAUUAAGUCCCACCAUUAAAAUCAAAUGAGAUAUGAUGGAAUUAA